Molecule: long non-coding RNA, 491 nt
Organism: Cyprinus carpio (common carp)
Lineage: Eukaryota; Metazoa; Chordata; Actinopteri; Cypriniformes; Cyprinidae
Exons: 4
Source: RefSeq, a predicted model, not a curated record
GAUGUAUGAAAAAGAGAAAUAAAGCUGAGGUCAAUCAUUCUGGACCUCAUCAUGACCGUCACAAAGCUUGCAAUGAUGAACUGAAUGAACCUGUGUAUGAAAAUGAAUUGGCUGAUCAACGUGGCCCUGAUGUUUGUAAACCUGAACUGAACUCUCCAGUGUAUGAAAAUAUUCCAAAGAGGAUGUAGUGUUUUGGACACACAGCGAACAUUUUACAGCUUUCACAUAUCAGUUUGUAGGUGGAGACCUGAAUGAUUGACAAGUGUGUUUGACUGAUAUAAUUUGUGGAUAACUGUAUAGAUAGUUGAGUGAAAAUGGAAGUAAAGAGUUAAUUAAUUGAUAAAAGGGUGUGUGUUAACACACUUAAGUGUGUUUUCUCUUUACACUUCAUGCAAUCUUCAUACAAGCUUGCUGCAUUUAGAUUUUUAAUGUUUUUAACCUUAGGUGUCAGUAUUUUUCAGAUUUCCCAUAAAAGGCUAGUUGUGCAAUUU